Molecule: ribosomal RNA, 250 nt
Filed under: uncultured bacterium
Lineage: Bacteria
Description: partial 16S ribosomal RNA
Rfam family: Bacterial small subunit ribosomal RNA
Source: RNAcentral
UACGUAGGGUGCGAGCGUUAAUCGGAAUUACUGGGCGUAAAGCGUGCGCAGGCGGUUCGUUAAGUCUGAUGUGAAAGCCCCGGGCUCAACCUGGGAAUGGCAUUGGAUACUGGCGGGCUGGAGUGUGGCAGAGGGGGGUGGAAUUCCGCGUGUAGCAGUGAAAUGCGUAGAGAUGCGGAGGAACACCGAUGGCGAAGGCAGCCCCCUGGGCUGACACUGACGCUCAGGCACGAAAGCGUGGGGAGCAAAC